AAGAUUAUAAUUUUGAUAGAAGGAGAAUAAGAGAUAGGUGGGUUUGGUUUUUUUUGUGGUUUGUUUUGUACCGCCGUAAUGAUUAAUAGGCAGAGUCGGGUGCAUCAGUAGUCAAUUGUCAGAGGUGAAAUUCUUGGAUCUAUUGAAGACUAACUACUGCGAAAGCAUUUGCCAAGGAUGUUUUCAUUGAUAAGGAACGAAAGUUAGGGGAUCGAAGACGAUCAGAUACCGUCGUAGUCUUAACUAUAAACUAUGCCGACUAGGGAUCGGACGAUGUUAUUCUUUGACGCGUUCGGCACCUUUCGAGAAAUCAAAGUGCUUGGGCUCCAGGGGGAGUAUGGUCGCAAGG
This 349-nucleotide ribosomal RNA is filed under the name Lomentospora prolificans. RNAcentral's name for it is "Scedosporium prolificans Eukaryotic small subunit ribosomal RNA". It matches the Rfam family "Eukaryotic small subunit ribosomal RNA", at positions 782 to 1136 of the family's 1831-position model. Lineage: Eukaryota; Fungi; Ascomycota; Sordariomycetes; Microascales; Microascaceae. The record is from Rfam by way of RNAcentral.